This is a long non-coding RNA of Strongylocentrotus purpuratus (purple sea urchin), 724 nucleotides long. RefSeq lists it as uncharacterized. The transcript is spliced from 4 exons. The record is from RefSeq and is a predicted model, not a curated record. NCBI's taxonomy places the organism in Eukaryota, Metazoa, Echinodermata, Echinoidea, Camarodonta, Strongylocentrotidae.
UGGUGUACCUGAAGGAGGAGCUGGGGCAAUAUAUAGCAGCACAACCGGGCAGAGGCCUCUGAGAUUGGGAAAACCCGCUGGAUGAUGAGCCUUUUGUUUUAGAUUGAGGUAAUUCGAUCUAAAGGAUGCACGGUGAGGAGGCGACAUGCCGUGUCACAUUCAUCUGUUUGCCGAAUGGAGAGUCGUGAGGGAUGUUUCCGAAGCUGUUGUCAGAAGAAAGGGACAAGUCAUGAAGUUUCCUACAAGUUACAAAAAGGCAAAAAGUGACUACUAUUCAGAAGCAGUUUUUCCAGUACUGCAGAUUUCCAGGAGUUGCUGUUGAUGGGACACAUGCAUCAGGAGCCCUGGUGGGGCAAGAGCCAGGUACUACUUCAAUAGGAAGAACAGGUACUCCAUCGAUGUUCAGGUUGUCUGUGAUUAUGCUGGGAAAGUAACUAGUAUCGUUGCAAGAUGGCCUGGACUGGUAGCAGCCACGAUGCCAGGAUCUUUUCUGAGUGUGCACUGAAUUGAUAGCUUGAUGCUAGGGCAUAUGAAUAACAGUUGAUUCUUGGAGAUAGACUAUAGGGUAUCCAUGCCUUCUCUGCCUCAUCAGAAGCCAUUUCUUCAUUCAGAGGGUCGACCACAGAUGUGCUUUAAAGGCCAUCUGUACUAGUUCAGCCAAAGAGGAUUAGACAACCCAGCGAGGUCACUGACGGGAGGCUAUCUCAUCAAUUCAGUUCUCAAU